RNAcentral lists this long non-coding RNA (1817 nucleotides) under Homo sapiens (human). Its description in RNAcentral is "HSALNT0385162". Lineage: Eukaryota; Metazoa; Chordata; Mammalia; Primates; Hominidae. The record is from RNAcentral.
GCCAAUCCAUCAUGAGACCCCACCUCCCUGUCCUCCAGCGAGACUUCAGGCCACGGAGGGCCAGGUCCUGCUGCACAUCGUGGGAAGGAAUCUAUUCCCUAGCAGAAGAAAGAGGCAAUGCAGCAAAGUGGUGCAGAACACAGGAGCUGGAGCCAUUCAGACCCAAGUCCAACUCUUGACCUCGCCCACUUUCUCUACAGUCCUGAGCAAUUACACCUGCCAAGCACCUUCCCAAUGGACAGACUGGCAGGCCCUACUCCCAACAGGCAUCCAGACUGAGCAUCACCAAGGAUGGGACAAACAGAAGCAAUGCAAGAGGAAAUGCGAACACGAACAUGCACCACUACACCACAACCUAUGGAAACAAUCAGGCAAAACAAGACUAGGAGACAUAUGACAAGAAAACAGGCCUGGACGCUUCAAAAAUGCCAAUGUCACGAAAGACAAAAACUGGGCAUGCUCUUCUGGAUCAAAGGAGACUAAAGAGAUAUAACAACCAAACACAAUAAAACUAUCCUAGAUUACAUCCUGGAUUUUUUAAAAGCAAAAAAGAACAAUUUGGUAACAACUGGGGAAAGUGUUAAUAUGGCUACAUUUUAAAUAACAUUAUUGUACCAAUGUUUAAUAUCUUGUUCUAUAUAGAUACAAAGGUUAAGUAGUCAGAGAUGAAGUGUCAAUUAUCUGCAACUUAAACAGCUGGCUUUUAAGAAAAAGUGUGUUGCAGAAAAAAGCAUAAAUGUGGCAAAACAUUCACAAUUAGUGAAUCUGGGUGAGAGAGAUGCAGUUGUUCAUUUUCUUAUUCCUUUGGCUAGUCUGUAGGUUUGGAAUUUUUUUUUUUCAAAGUAUAAAGUUGAGAUAAGAAAAAUGAAACUUUCCAACCUUAAUUUCAACACUGUGGAAUGAGGAUAAGACAUACCUCACAGGGUUACAGGGUUACACAGGAAGUUACAUGAAAUAACGUAUACAAAGUGCUCAACCCAGUGCCUGCACACAGUCAGCAUACUGAAGACGUCAUUCACAUACUACACUGCAAACCCUUUCAGCACACAGUGGCAUCACACCUCCCUGCCCUCUGAGUUAAGCCAAGGCCAUGUAGCUGGCUCUGGCCAAGGAAAUAGAGGUGGAAGUAGUGUUAGUUUCAGGCAAGACCUUUAAGAACCACUACGCAAUUCACCACAAUCCCUUCCAGAGUGAACACACUGAAAUGGAGCCUUCCACAGCCUGGGUCCCUAUGUGACCUCCCCACUCUGCUGACCCAAGCUGGACAUAUAGUACAAACAACAUAUCCUUUUUCUUCUUGUAUUAAGCCACUACACUUUUGGAGUUGUUUGUUACCACUGAGCAUAUCCUCGCCCAUGCAGACCAACAUAACUCCCAUGUAAGAUAAAGUGCGGAAAGGAGACCAUUACACGUGAUAAAGCAUGACUCCACAACAGCUGGAUGCAAGCCCUGGGCAAGUUCCUUAAUCUUCUAGACCUCAGCUUCCUCAUGCUAAUCAUCAAUCAAGAUCCUAACAGUACCGAACUCAUAAGGCUAAUGUAAGAACUGAAUGAAUUACUGAUUUUUGAAAAAUACUUAGAACCAGGAAGAGACCAACACCAGACUUUGAAAGUUGAUACUGGCAUAGCCAGAGACUUGACGAUGGAUAUAGAAUCACCAAGGCAAGAGCCUAGUACACAGUAUACCCUCAAUAUGUCAGCUACUCUCAUCCAGCUAUGUAACCAUGAAGCAUAUUUUAAAAUAGAAAAGGGAAGGUAAGAAGGAAGCAUGGUUAAAAUGGUUACUUUCUAAAAUAUUAAAACUGGUCAGAUUUAGGA